Molecule: ribosomal RNA, 253 nt
Filed under: uncultured bacterium
Lineage: Bacteria
Description: partial 16S ribosomal RNA
Rfam family: Bacterial small subunit ribosomal RNA
Source: RNAcentral
AACGUAGGAGACAAACGUUAUCCGGAGUUACUGGGCGUAAAGGGCGUGCAGGUGGUCUGUUAAGUCUGGCGUGAAAGCUCCUGGCUAAACCGGGAGAGGUCGUUGGAUACUGGCGGACUAGAGGACGGUAGAGGCGUGUGGAAUUCCGGGUGUAGUGGUGAAAUGCGUAGAGAUCCGGAGGAAUACCAGUGGCGAAGGCGACACGCUGGGCCGUACCUGACACUGAUACGCGACAGCAUGGGGAGCGAACGGG